RNAcentral lists this ribosomal RNA (442 nucleotides) under uncultured bacterium. RNAcentral describes it as "partial 16S ribosomal RNA". It matches the Rfam family "Bacterial small subunit ribosomal RNA", at positions 338 to 795 of the family's 1533-position model. The record is from RNAcentral.
CCUACGGGAGGCAGCAGUAGGGAAUCUUUCACAAUGGGCGAAAGCCUGAUGGAGCAACGCCGCGUGCAGGAUGAAGGCCUUCGGGUUGUAAACUGCUUUUAUAAGCGAGAAAUAUGAUGGUAACUUAUGAAUAAGGAUCGGCUAACUACGUGCCAGCAGCCGCGGUCCUACGUAGGAUCCGAGCAUUAUCCGGAGUGGCUGGGUGUAAAGAGUUGCGUAGGUGGCAUAAUAAGUAGCUAGUGAAAUCUGGGGGCUCAACCAUUCAGACUAUUAGCUAAACUGUUAAGCUCGAGACCGUUAGGGUUAACUGGAAUUUCUAGUGUAGGAGUGAAAUCCGUAGAUAUUAGAAGGAACACCAAUAGCGUAGGCAGGUUACUGGGACGGUUCUGACACUAAGGCACGAAAGCGUAGGGAGCAAACGGGAUUAGAUACCCCUGUAGUC